AAUAAAGUGCCUGAUAAAAAGGAUUAUCGUGAUAGGAUAAAUCAUGUAAUUUAUUAAUUACCUUUAUUA
This 69-nucleotide transfer RNA is filed under the name Polyzosteria limbata. RNAcentral describes it as "tRNA-Ile". RNAcentral also lists the same sequence under 1 other name. Lineage: Eukaryota; Metazoa; Arthropoda; Insecta; Blattodea; Blattidae. The record is from RNAcentral.